Molecule: ribosomal RNA, 210 nt
Filed under: uncultured bacterium
Lineage: Bacteria
Description: partial 16S ribosomal RNA
Rfam family: Bacterial small subunit ribosomal RNA
Source: RNAcentral
ACGUCUCAGUUCGGAUUGGAGUCUGCAACUCGACUCCAUGAAGCUGGAUUCGCUAGUAAUCGCGCAUCAGCCAUGGCGCGGUGAAUACGUUCCCGGGCCUUGUACACACCGCCCGUCAAGCCAUGGAAGCCGGGGGUGCCUGAAGUGCGUGACCGCAAGGAGCGCCCUAAGGUAAAACCGGUGACUGGGGCUAAGUCGUAACAAGGUAAC